AGCCAAUGAUGACAUUUAUACAAUACUUUUCUGACACCUACUAUGACAGCUGGACUACAGCUUGUGAUUCUUACUUUAAUCCUGAGGCUU
Small nucleolar RNA from Nerophis lumbriciformis (worm pipefish), 90 nucleotides. RefSeq annotates it as small nucleolar RNA SNORD60. The record is from RefSeq and is a predicted model, not a curated record. Lineage: Eukaryota; Metazoa; Chordata; Actinopteri; Syngnathiformes; Syngnathidae.